RNAcentral lists this long non-coding RNA (1154 nucleotides) under Mus musculus (house mouse). RNAcentral's name for it is "long non-coding RNA chr11:57431697-57432851". Lineage: Eukaryota; Metazoa; Chordata; Mammalia; Rodentia; Muridae. The record is from RNAcentral.
AAAAAAAAAAAAAAAGGAGUUGGAAACCAGCGAGAAAGAAAUUCACUUGCUAAAUUUUAACCAAAAUCUUUACAGAAAGUGUUGAAGGCAUUUGAAGUGAGCAUGGUGAUGUACAAAGCCCACCGGAUUAUACUUCCUUCUUUGCUCGGAUCUCUGCAUCCUGGUGUACAUACGAGUUUGAUGUUGGCAGUCAAUUAAAAUGAAGUAUCAAAAUUAAACUGAGCCUGGACAAGAAUUCAUAAAUCUCAAGGUCUUAAGGAUUACAAAACAAACAAUGGAGAGACUACUCAAUGGUUUAUAUAGCCCCAGCCACUCUUACAGACCACCUGAUAUCAGGCAGCCCACAAGCUAAUUCCAGAGCCUAAGGAUCCACACCCCCUUCUGGUAUCUGUGGGAACUGCAGUCAUAUGCACAAAUCCACACCAGGGACACACACAUAUAUGUUCAUAACUCAAAGUUAAAAUCUUUUGAAAAAUAAAAAGCAACAAAGUCCUGUUCAACCCCACUGGAUUCCCUAGCUAUUAAUAACAUAUUGAUGAUGAUAUUUUAAAUGCUAUUGUCUUAAAACAUUUUAUUUUGUGUCUUUGCUUUUAUAUUUUAUAUUUUAUAAUGCACCAGAUUUCCAGUCCAGCAGAGAGUAAACAUGAUUUUAAAGUGUGUGCACAUAUUUGAGAAGCAUGCUCAGUCGCCCUGUCCAAGCAGGGAUCUGGUCAAGGAAGCUUAGUGGCCUGUGGUCUGAUGGCUCCCAGCUGGGGAACUAGAAACCACUCUCUGCCUGCCAAACUUGGAACAGCUUAGAUGCCAAGUUCUAGUCAUGGCAGCAGGCAGAUAAGAACCACUUAGCUGUGUGGUUUCCCCAAAUGCAGGAAAAACCCAGAGGGUCACUCUGAAGCCAUAUCUCCAGCCAAGCAGGCUACCAGUUCAUUGAAAGCUUCACAGAGUUUGGAACUGUGUGCCAAGUUUGAACCAGACAGGUUAACCAUCUCCUUCAAAAUCUUCAAAGUGUUGCCCUUGGUCAAUGGUUACAAUCUGUGGGCCUUUCUUCAUUUUCUACCUUACCAUGUUUCCUUACCUUCAUGUAUCCCUUGCCAAAUAAAAAAUAUGUCUUAUUCUUACAUCAAAGGCCCACCAAUGGUAACAAAGGCCACCACUGC